RNAcentral lists this unclassified non-coding RNA (261 nucleotides) under Hevea brasiliensis (rubber tree). The record is from RNAcentral. Lineage: Eukaryota; Viridiplantae; Streptophyta; Magnoliopsida; Malpighiales; Euphorbiaceae.
CUCUUUCUCUCUCUCUCUCUCCAUUAAUCUAGAUACAAACAUGCAUAAGUUUACCGACUCUCUACCUCUCCAUAAAUUUCUCUCUAGAUCUUUCCCUGCCACUGCCAUAAGAAAACUCCUGUGCUAGACCGAGAUAUGCAGCCUAUAUAUAACUGAGCUCAUUGCAUGUUGAGAGUGUACUGAGAGUUGGUGAGCACAAGUGGAAAAGGUUAGAAAUACUUGGAUGUGAGUGUGUGAGAGUUCCUAAUGACUAAGUAAGUG